AUGCUGAAUUCAUUAAAGUCUCUCUCUUUGUCAGGAGGCUCUGGGCCGAACUAUGACCGGCUUGAGUGGGAAGCAGGUGACGAAGGAAUUCGCUGCCCACCCACCACCCACUUCAUUGCCACGGUCGAUGAUUUAACCGACGUGCUUGACUUCGACUUUGAAGACAUCGACGGUAUGGACGACGAUGCCGGAGACGUACAGGAGCCACCGCUCACAGGGCGGUGGUUAGCCACCUCUUUAUACAAUAUAUAUAUACAUAUGGUGGACACUCCGAAAGAAACCAAUGGUGAUGAGGCAACGGAGGAUAACCCCUCAAGGAAGAAAGCAAAGCAUGGGCGUCGCCAACGCCUCUCCAAGCCCCACCAAGGCAAUACCGGCAUCGGAGACGAAAACAAUUUGGACGGUGCCGACGAUGAAUACAACCCCGAUCAGCCCGCCUUCGAGCAGGCCGAGCAGGAAGAUGGGCAGGAUAGCCUAUCACGACCGGUUUUCCAGGUAUUAAUUUCCCAGAAAAUGGCCUUUGUGCUCACCAGCCCCAGGAUUACUGUUAGCUGA
This 555-nucleotide ribosomal RNA is filed under the name Triticum aestivum (bread wheat). RNAcentral's name for it is "partial small subunit ribosomal RNA". Lineage: Eukaryota; Viridiplantae; Streptophyta; Magnoliopsida; Poales; Poaceae. The record is from RNAcentral.